Molecule: long non-coding RNA, 529 nt
Filed under: Numida meleagris (helmeted guineafowl)
Lineage: Eukaryota; Metazoa; Chordata; Aves; Galliformes; Numididae
Description: lncRNA (ENSNMEG00000022234.1)
Source: RNAcentral
CUUACCUGGAUGGGGAUUGUGCUCCUUUUUGGCUAUCACCAGUCACUGGAAGGGGGUAAGCAAAUUACCUUGCAGUGAGAAAGCUUUCAUCUUGACCUGUUAGUCCCUGGAAUCACCCUAGAUGGAUAUAUGAAUCCAGUUCUACCCUUAGAUCAUGAAAGCUGCUACAGUACUUCCCCCUGUGUCAAAGUGGGCUUAGUCCCAAACAAUCACUGUGGGCUUCAUCCAGAGUUCAGCGAGAUCUCUGGGAUUUGGAUCAGACUUGCAACUGGGUCUUACGGUUUGAUAAGAAAAUCAAGUUGCCUUUUUUGUUGUUGGUUCUAGCCAUUUACCAGGAAUCUGGUUGUGCUUCAAACAGCUUAAAGAGAAGAUGUGAUCUGUGGAUGGGGCACUUGGUUCAGGGGAAGGGAAGGAAGUCUGGGUGUAAUACAGUUUUUCACUGGUGUGACAGAUACAGAGCUUAUACUUUUGAGAGACCAAAGUGUUUUCAUUAAUACAGAUAAAUAAGCAAAGCAUGGGCUACCACUUC